CGGCUGACCUACCAGGUGUACAAGUGUGUGGCCGUGCUGGAACACCUGCAGCACACGCAGACCCAGGACCUUCGGGUUUUCCUUAAGUCUGCAGCUCGAUGCGGUGGAAGACAGAGUGUAAAAAAGCAUUGCCGGUGACUCAAAUGCUACAUGAAUCAAAUGGAGGAGCUACAGAGUGAGUCAUUACCUGGAGUACAUGGAGGGUCUGGAGCACAGUUACAGAACAAUGGUACUGACAGACAUGAAAAAUAUCUCUUAGAGAAUCAGCUAGCAGUGCUGACACACCACAGCCAUCACUCCCCAGGCUGCACUGGGACUGGGACUGGUAAUAACAAGGUAAAGGCUUCUCGUGACAGGAUUAACCAGUGUGUGUACCUGGGGAGUCUCAUACUACCUGUUGUUUGGAUUGAGGAAAGGUUUGAUACUGUGUAUGCUCUCUGUAAAUGUUGUUUAUACCUCUAAGAUCUGUCAGUAUAGUUCUACAUAUUUAAAGAUGUACAGUGGUAGGGAUGUAUGAAAUAUUAAAUAGCAGAUAUGAAUAAUGUUAUGAAAUAUACUGAACAAAAAUAUGAACACAACAUACAAUAAUUUCAAAGAUUUACAUUUCAUGUAAGGUAAUCCGGCAAUUGAAAUAAAUAAAUUAGGCCCUAAUCUAUGGAUUUCACGACUGAGAAUGACUGUUGGUCACAGAUACCUUUAAAAAAAGUUAGGGGUGUGGAUCAGAAAACCAGUCAGUAUCUGGUGUGACAAUCAUUUGCCUCAUGCAGCGUGACACAUCUUCUUCGCAUAGAGUUGAUCAGAUUUUUGACUGUGGCCUGUGGAAUGUUGUCCCACUCCUCUUCAAUGGCUGUGCGAAGUUGCUGUAUAUUGGUGGGAACUGGAACACGCUGUCAUAUACGUCGAUCCAGAGCAUCCCAAACAGGCUCAAUGGGUGACAUGUCUGGUAAGUAUGCAGGCCUUGGAAGAACUGGGACAUUUUUAAGAUUCCAGGAAUGGGUGUACAGAUCCUUGCGACAUGGGGCUGUGCAUUAUCAUGCUGAAACAUUAGGUGACAGUUGAAUGGCACGGCAAUUGGCCUCAGGAUCUCAUCACCGUAUCCCUGUGCAUUCAAAUUGCCAUCGAUAAGAUGUAAUUGUGUUCUUUGUCCGUAGCUUAUGCCUACCCAUACCAUAACCCAACCGCCACCAUGGGGCACUCUGUUUACAACGUUGACAUCAGUAAACCGCUCGCCACAGGACACCAUACACAUAGCCUGCAGUUGGGAGGCCGGUUGGACAUACUGCCAAAUCUUUAAAACAACAUUGGAGUUGGCUUAUGGUAGAGAAAUUAACAUUCAAAUUUCUGGCACCAGCUCUGAUGGACAUUCCUGCAGUCAGCAUGCCAAUUCCACAACCCCUCAAAGCAUGAGACAUAUGUGGCAUUGUGUUGUGUGACAAAACUGCACAUUUGAUCAGUGUCCUUUUAUUGUCCCCAGCACAAGGUGCACCUGUGUAAUGAUCAUGCUGUUUAAUCAGCUUCUUGAUAUGCCACACGUCAGGUGGAUGCACUUUUUUGGCAAAGGAGAAAUGUUCACUAAGAGAUGUAAACACAAUUUGAGAGAAAUAAGCUUUUUGUGUGUACAGUAUGUAACAAUUCUGGGAUCUUUUAUUUCAGCUCAUAAAACAUGGGUCCAACACUUUACAUGUAGCGUUUAUAUUUUUGUUCAGUGUAUAUAAUAAUGAACUUGAUGUACUGUCUUUUACAUCUUCAUGGACCUUCUGUAGGGUUAUGAGGAUGCAUUAUAGUUAUACAACUCUAAGGGCAUAUAAUAUUUACUUGUAAACCUACUGACCUCUCCUAUCCGAUACGACCACUACUAAUACCUACACUAGACAAUAUGAUGAUUGUUUGGUAAUGCCCUUUUAAUUACAAUUCUACUCAGCAAUGCAUUACACAUCCUCUUCUUGAGAUCAAUGCUAAGCUCCAAAUCGUUAUGGGCAGUAUAGGGUCUGUGUAUGUGCCACCAGUGUAGCUUACCAAGUAGCUCUAUCUUGCAGGACCACUCUCCUCAUAGAGAGGGUUGAUGAUGACCGUGGAGAGGCGGCUUUGUUGUUGUGAAAAACCUUCAUUAAUAAACAUCCCCUCUCUCUCCUUCAGCUGAACCAUCUGAUAUGAAAACCUCUGAAUAAUUAAUGAGAUCAUUAAAGCCUUUGGUUUCUCCAACACAACAGCUGUUAAAUAUGAUAUACUGUUUACCAUCUACAUAGGGUAGAGGUGGAUAGAAGUGAUAGAAAUCAGUGCCACCAAAUGUUUACCUGGUAAGCACUUCGAGCAAGG
Molecule: long non-coding RNA, 2316 nt
Organism: Oncorhynchus tshawytscha (Chinook salmon)
Lineage: Eukaryota; Metazoa; Chordata; Actinopteri; Salmoniformes; Salmonidae
Source: Ensembl